UGGAGGGCAAGUCUGGUGCCAGCAGCCGCGGUAAUUCCAGCUCCAAUAGCGUAUAUUAAAGUUGUUGCAGUUAAAAAGCUCGUAGUUGAAUUUCGGGGUUCAUACGUUGGUCGGGCUUUUUUGGUCUGUACUUAUGUAAUGGAUUCCUACCUUCUGAAUAACCGGCAUGUCAUUAAUUUGGUGCGCCGGGGAAGCAGGACUGUUACCUUGAAAAAAUUAGAGUGCUUAAAGCAGGCUAUCGCCUGAAUACAUUAGCAUGGAAUAAUGAAAUAGGACGGCAUGGUUCUAUUUUGUUGGUUUCUAGGAUCACCGUAAUGAUUAAUAGGGAUAGUUGGGGGCAUUAGUAUUCAAUUGUCAGAGGUGAAAUUCUUGGAUUUAUUGAAGACUAACUUCUGCGAAAGCAUUUGCCAAGGAUGUUUUCAUUAAUCAAGAACGAAAGUUAGGGGAUCGAAGACGAUCAGAUACCGUCGUAGUCUUAACCAUAAACUAUGCCGACUAGGGAUCGGACGAUGUUAAUUUUUUAAUGACUCGUUCGGCGCCUUACGGGAAAC
Molecule: ribosomal RNA, 551 nt
Filed under: uncultured Glomus
Lineage: Eukaryota; Fungi; Glomeromycota; Glomeromycetes; Glomerales; Glomeraceae
Description: SSU rRNA
Rfam family: Eukaryotic small subunit ribosomal RNA
Source: RNAcentral